UCACAACCAAUCCGUUUUCGCCGUAUUAUCCAAAAAACCCAGAAUUUAGAAUAUUUUCAUUUCCCCUUCAAUCACUUUUGCUUAUAUUGAUUUGCCCGAAAAUAACUGGUAAAAAUUCCCCUUUUUUCCGAGACUCAGCUGAUUCAGCUGUUUGAAAACUCACGAGAACUUAUUGGCACUCGGCACUACCCGGUGAUUUAGAGAACCUUAACGGUAUAAAUUGAAAGCUCUCAACCAGCGCAUUAUUGAGAAGCCUUGCACUUAGCAAAUCAACACUUGCUUCCAUUCUCCACAUUCAGCUGUUUGAAAACUCACGAGAGCUUAUUGGCAUUCGCACAUUAACCGGAAAAUUAGAUUAGAGAACUUUAACGGUAUUAAUUGAAAACUCACAACGAGCGUUUUAUUGAGAAGCCUUGCACUCAGCAAAUCAACAUUGCUUCCAUCCUCUAUAUUCAGCUGAUUCACUGCUUAAAAACUCACGAGAGCUUACUGGCACUCACACACUUCCUGGCGAUUUACAUAGAUUAGAGAACCUUAAUGGUAUAAAUUGAAAGCUCUCAACGAGCGUGUUAUUGAGAAGCCUUGCACUCAGCAAAUCAACACUUGAUUGAAUGAUAUGAAAGUUUAACCGCUAGCUUCGAAUUUCCGAUGAUCCAGCUGGCGCUUGCUGCACUUGCUAUUUAAACAACUGUUAUACGAAGACACAAUUUAGUGUGUGUUAACGUGUCUACGGUAAAAUACGGAGACAAGUUAGUAAUGGAUUACGCGUCUAAUUCUUGUACUUUUCCUAACAUUUUUGAUUCAAAGAAAGCAAAGAAAGCAGAGCUUCUGGCCUUUCUGUUGCAGUAAGACGGACAUGCAUACACGUCCAGACGUUAUUAUGUGGCAAGGACACGAGCGUGCUUUUUUUCUGUUGUCGGUACGGUUUUCCUUGGCUGGAAUAAUUGGUUGGUUGGACGCGUUGAGCUAACGGCUAUAUAGCCGACAUCCCGCUAGCACUUAAUAAAAGUUUCGUUUCAACGAUAGUGCGUUUUAACGUAGCUGCGUUGCUGAUUACAACGAUGAUUUUGUUUUGAUAGAAAAAGUUGAAGCUUUAAAAAUCAAAAUCAGAAAAAAACAAAGUGACCAAAUUCACUUGAUAUGCUGGGUUUUGUAGGCUGAGCGGGUUGUGUUGCGCGAUUCAGUCUGUCGUUGACCAGCGUUCGUGUUGCGUGCGUGGCGCAUCCAAGAAUGAGUGGCGUGACUACGUUGCAACGGCUUUUCUGUGCUUACUCGGUAGCACACAAAUAUCCUGCCAGUGAUUAAAACUGUGUGUUGGUGGGUGAAUAUGUUGUUAUUUUUUCUAGUAGCAAGCAAUAAAAUCUAAUUUUCCGCUUAUAUAAAGCUGGUUGUUUUGUUGUCAGGUGUACAGAAAUGUUUUUUAAGUGCUUUGUGUAUGUGUAGUUGAUUCUUUUGGGAAAAAUUUGCACGUGCCUACAUACGUUCCCUUCUGGAAUGUAAAGUUUCUGCAAACGUGAAUUUGUAGUAAAGCAAACAAAAAAAUUAAUAGGUUGAAAAAAAAAGUAAUUUGAAUCGUUAUUAUUGUGGCAAUUUAAAAUUUUUGGGUAAAAGAGCAUUACAUCCUUGUUAGUUCACUUUGCAUUUGACGUUGCAAUCUGCUGAUGAAGUGACAAAAUAAGUCUGAGACACAAGAUUUAUUUUAUGGAAUGAUUUAAAGUUUCAACGGCUACUUCAAGAAGGGAAGGAACAUGGAACUUUCUUUCCACUGAAUAUAGAGACAGAACCCUUCGAGAUAGCAUGAGGUGGCUGAAAUAUAAAAGAUGCCCCGAUCGGAAGUGGCAGCCAAAUGGAAAAACUUUUUCGGUUCUUUACGCGUAACUGGAACGCCGACGAUGAGCCCGCUCCAUAUAUCAUUGAAGUUUCUAGAGCCGCCUUUGCGUGCUGAAGCGAAUUUCACUUCAAAUCUAAUAAAUGACAGUCCAUCGUCAUCAAACCCUCCAACAACGUUACCGACAACAUAUGGUAAUUUUGGAAGACGUCGAGGGCAGAAAGACGAUGAUGCGUAUACUCAAGUACUUGGACGUUCGAUAGAGACCCUCACAUCAGCAACUAAAACUUAUGGUUGGGAUGAGUUAGGCAACUUAGUGUCGUCAAAUCGCCCAAAAGGAGCCCAAGAAUAUCUACAAUUAGCAAAGGAGUUCGAGCGGAACAUAUGUAUGUGAAUUGGUAUUCAACUAAUAAAAGAAGUUACCAAGCUCCACAUCAUGCAGUUGAAAUUCGCUUUUUGUUUAUGCUAGUCAAGUAAAAUGUACCUUAUCUUUUUUAUAUUUUUUCAAUGUUAGAAAGCAAAUUUUUAAGAUAUAGUAUACUAUAUUCAUUGGAAAAUUGAAUAUG
Long non-coding RNA from Bactrocera dorsalis (oriental fruit fly), 2394 nucleotides. RefSeq lists it as uncharacterized. Lineage: Eukaryota; Metazoa; Arthropoda; Insecta; Diptera; Tephritidae. The record is from RefSeq and is a predicted model, not a curated record. The transcript is spliced from 5 exons.